Molecule: long non-coding RNA, 491 nt
Organism: Chinchilla lanigera (long-tailed chinchilla)
Lineage: Eukaryota; Metazoa; Chordata; Mammalia; Rodentia; Chinchillidae
Exons: 2
Source: RefSeq, a predicted model, not a curated record
CCCAGCCAUACCCACGGCCAGGGAGCGCAGCAAGGUCCGAGGGAGCACCUUGGACAUCAAGGCCCAAGAGAGCAGCAGGACAGACCCACCCGAGCGCAGCGGGAGUUACCCGAGCAGAGACGCUUCCCAAGGAUGGACUGGUACAGCGAGGGUCCGCUCCGCGCAUGCGUGGCACCUUGACUAGAGACGCAUGUCUGAAAGGAGGUCGAAGCCCAAUGCCGGGGCACUGAGGGUGGACUGGGCCUCUGGGCUGUCUUCUCGGCUUGCUGUGUGCUUCUGCGGUGGGUGGAAAGAGGCGGUUGGAAGCACCCGCAGUGACCUUAUGGGACGUCUGAAGCAGCUAAGAGAUCUCUGCUGCGAAGAUGAAGUUUACAAAGAAAAACUCUGUAUUGGUACUCAUAAUUAACGACCCUUUGCCAGAAAGAUCUUCGGAUGAGUAAAAUCUGGUUGCCACAGCUAGAACACAGCUCAAUAAACCUCAGUCAAAUGUC